This 75-nucleotide transfer RNA is filed under the name Candidatus Rhabdochlamydia sp. W815. RNAcentral describes it as "tRNA-His". It matches the Rfam family "tRNA". From Rfam's summary of the family: Transfer RNA (tRNA) molecules are approximately 80 nucleotides in length. Their secondary structure includes four short double-helical elements and three loops (D, anti-codon, and T loops). Lineage: Bacteria; Pseudomonadati; Chlamydiota; Chlamydiia; Parachlamydiales; Candidatus Rhabdochlamydiaceae. The record is from RNAcentral.
GCGGUCGUAGCUCAGCUGGUUAGAGCACUGGAUUGUGGUUCCAGAUGUCGCGGGUUCGAGCCCCGUCGAUCGCCC